This 243-nucleotide long non-coding RNA is filed under the name Elaeis guineensis (African oil palm). Its description in RNAcentral is "long non-coding RNA (EGUI_LNC018680)". The record is from RNAcentral. Lineage: Eukaryota; Viridiplantae; Streptophyta; Magnoliopsida; Arecales; Arecaceae.
ACAAGCUUGUAGAAUGCACCAACUUCUUGUCCGUCGGUAUCACUGCAUCUGGACCAAAGGAAACCAGCUUCCCCCGCACAGCAGAAAUUUUAUGCUUCUUUAAUGUUAAGCAAACAAGCAGUUGCUAAUUCUGCUGUCAUAAACUAUUAACUCAAUGUACCAGCCCAUGACCUUUUUUUUUUUUUAUCAUUAUGGAAUUGAUUUAGGGUUUUGGGAUCAUCACCAUUUCGGAUUGUGGAGACA